GGACGGUGAUGAUUAUUGUGAUAAAAGGUCUCGUUCAUUGUAAUGGGCUCUAUAGCCCUUGCCGACCAUCCUGAUAUAUCACCACCCAUAUUCCGAGUUC
This is a non-coding RNA of Morus notabilis, 100 nucleotides long. The record is from Rfam. Lineage: Eukaryota; Viridiplantae; Streptophyta; Magnoliopsida; Rosales; Moraceae.